Equus caballus (horse) is the source of this 2029-nucleotide long non-coding RNA. Lineage: Eukaryota; Metazoa; Chordata; Mammalia; Perissodactyla; Equidae. The record is from Ensembl.
UGCUGAGUCAAGCAUCUCUAUCCAUUCUGUGUUCCAAAUUUUUGUUCUAACUGAUAUCAUUCAUUGGUCAAGUGUGACCUGACAGUCACUCUGCCUCUACCCUCACACACGUUACCCAAGUGUUCCCAUGCAUCUAAAUGUGUUGCAUAUACUCUCCUAACUUUCAAAAAUGUCCAACCACACUGAUCGCUCUUUAUUCUUUGGCAUUUUUAUUGCCACAAUGAUCAAAUCGGCAAGCUGCAAUUGCUUCUAAAUAUUUGUAGAAGGAUUCUGUGACCCAAGGAAGGUUCAAAGCUAAUGUACCUCAAGUCUGAAUGUGUUCUUUAACAACACAGGCUGCUAUUGUCCUGCCCUGUUUCCCAAAGGACACGUAAUAGAAGCCUUACAUUUUUACGUCCUCCUUUUCCAAUGACGUUUUCCAGUUAUACUCUUGUUUACUUUGCAAUGGAAUUUGGAAAUUUAUCUCUUCAAUGUACACAGCACGUGUCAUAUGACUACUGGUCCAGAUAGAGAUUGGGACAGAUGGGUCCCUUUGCUGUCUCCUUCCUCAUCACUUUUGGAGUCCCUGUCUCAAGUAGUUGUGCAUGUCUGCAUCGUGUUCUGAAAAAUGUGUCAGUCUGACAGAAGAGGACGGAUUGAUAUUGCUAAUUGUAGAGGAAGUCCUAUCGUUCCUCCUCUCAUGGUUUCCUUUCCUAUCUUAAUUCCUUUUGCACCAAGGAAUGGAGGGAUGGUAAACAACUAUAUGUCUCUGAUGGGUGAGAUGUCCUUUGAAAACUUGAGGUUCUGAUUCUCACAAAUAUGGGUCAAUUUGCAUCACAGAGUAUACUAUAAAAGGGUUUCAAAUGUCCGUGCUCCUCACAUCCUUGCAUUGUACCUUCCUUUGCAAUAAAUUGUUCCUUUCUUUCUUUACUUUUUAGCGGAGACUGAACAGGACAAAGGUAAGUUCCUGUGAUGUAUUCUGCUGUUUACCUGUGCCACUGUGUAUGUCUCUUUCUGUGUGUGUGUCUGUGAGUGUGUUUCUGAGAGUGAGGUCAGUUACACCUUCAAAUGAUAAUUUUAGACACUGAAUUUUAAGAAAUUUGAAGUUGUUUUCAUGUUUCCAUCCUGUGAAAUUGACAUUGGACUUUGCUAUUUUUUUUUCAGAGGAACGUAAGAAAAGGUUCGGUAAGUUUCUGAGAUCCCUCUACUUUGAUAGGUCUUUAGGAUUACUGGUUUCUUGCCCUCUUGGAAAUUCGCUGCCAUUUUGUCUCCAAGCCAUGCAUUUGCAUGCACUUCUCCUGGGUGUUGACUGUUCUCUGCCAAAUUUGAUGGUUUGGGGCUUCUUUCAUUUACAUUCUAACAGUUACCAUUCCUCUUCCCUCCAUCCACUUCCAUUCCUGCUGUUUGCAUUUCAUCCCAUGCCAUCCCUGGAAACAUUGGCUUCUUCUGUCCUGCAGAAAUUUCCAAGGGUUUCUUUAAGCAGUUGGCGAAACAAAGAACUUUACGUUCAUAGACUUAUGGGUUUUAUGCUAUGUAUGUUUCUGAAAAGCAUCCUAACUUAACACUUCUUUCGUAUGUUCCAAAUUUGAGGACUCAAGGCUAUGAUUCGCAUACUUACCUAAUACAUCAAAAAGAAGAAGAGAUGAUCCCAAACUUCUGAUGGAAGCAUCUCUAACCAUUGUGUGUUCAAAGUUGUUGUUAUAACAGAUAUCAUUCAUUGGUCGAGUGUGAGAUGAGGGUCACUCUCCCUCUGCCCUUGAAUUUAGUACCCAAGUCUUCCCAUGCAUCUAAAUACGUUACAUAUUUCCUCCUAAGUUUUAAAACAUUUCCAACCACACAGAUCACUCAUUAUUUUUUGGCAUAUUUAUUGCCACAAUGAUCAAAUUGGCAAGCUGCAAUUUCUUCUAAAUAUUGGUGGAAGGAUUGCAUGACCUAAGGAAGGUUCAAAUCUAAUCUAUCUCAAGUCUCAAUGUGUUCUGUAACAACACAGGCAGCUAUUGCCCUUGCCUGUUUCCCAAAGGACACCUAAAACAAUCCUUACAUUUUAACG